Molecule: ribosomal RNA, 303 nt
Filed under: uncultured bacterium
Lineage: Bacteria
Description: bacterial SSU rRNA
Rfam family: Bacterial small subunit ribosomal RNA
Source: RNAcentral
UGGGGAAUAUUGCACAAUGGGGGAAACCCUGAUGCAGCGACGCCGCGUGAGCGAAGAAGUAUUUCGGUAUGUAAAGCUCUAUCAGCAAGGAAGAUAAUGACGGUACUUGACUAAGAAGCUCCGGCUAAAUACGUGCCAGCAGCCGCGGUAAUACGUAUGGAGCAAGCGUUAUCCGGAUUUACUGGGUGUAAAGGGAGCGUAGACGGCAUGGCAAGUCUGAUGUGAAAGCCCGGGGCUCAACCCCGGAACUGCAUUGUAAACUGUCGUGCUGGAGUGCAGGAGAGGUAAGCGGAAUUCCUAGUG